This is a long non-coding RNA of Camelina sativa (false flax), 678 nucleotides long. RefSeq lists it as uncharacterized. Lineage: Eukaryota; Viridiplantae; Streptophyta; Magnoliopsida; Brassicales; Brassicaceae. The record is from RefSeq and is a predicted model, not a curated record.
UUUGAUUUUUUCUCAAAACACACCUUCAUCGUGAUUUGAGAGUUGGAUCUUCGUCGGCGUGAACAUUUGCAGCUGGUUCUCUCCUCUCAUCUUCGAGUUCAUGGGUUACCCCUAGUUCAUGGGUUAAACACACCUUCAUCGUGAUUAACCAGACAUCUACAAAGGAUAUAAUCAAGUUCAGAUCAAUGGACAGUGAAGAUGCAUAUUCUCUUGGUGGGGGUGGUGGGCAAACUUCAGCAGAUACAUCACAAUCUAAAAGUCUGAUGAGAAGGACGAGAUAGUUGUAAUUCGGGAAAACCCAACUUCGAGUGGAAAAGAAGAUGAAUGAAGCUUUCAAAACCCAAAGUUUGUUUCUACUCAAUAUGAAAGCUUGACUAUGUUUUAUGUUUUUGUCUAUGUUUAAUGUUGCUAUUGACUUCAAUCAGCUUGAUCAUCUGAAUCUACUUGUAGUCAGCUAUCAUUGGUCGAAGUUGCUUGUCAUGUUACUCAAAUAUUCAUUCUAAGAAGAGUGUGGAGCAUCGUCGUAUACAAGAGUGUGGAGCAUCGCUGACUACAAAUAUUCAUUGUUGUCAUUGUGUUUUGUGUGAGUGAAUAAAGAAAAAAACACAAGACAUAUUUGAUGUACUUCCUUUUAGUUUUAAUGUAUGAACUCACUUACAUAAGUUAAUCAUUUAACCA